GUCCACGCCGUAAACGAUGUCUACUAGCCGUUGGGGGGCUUGACCCUUUAGUGGCGAAGCUAACGCGAUAAGUAGACCGCCUGGGGAGUACGGUCGCAAGAUUAAAACUCAAAUGAAUUGACGGGGGCCCGCACAAGCGGUGGAGCAUGUGGUUUAAUUCGAUGCAACGCGAAAAACCUUACCAGGCCUUGACAUCCUGAGAACUUUCUAGAGAUAGAUUGGUGCCUUCGGGAACUCAGUGAC
Molecule: ribosomal RNA, 243 nt
Filed under: uncultured bacterium
Lineage: Bacteria
Description: partial 16S ribosomal RNA
Rfam family: Bacterial small subunit ribosomal RNA
Source: RNAcentral